This 301-nucleotide ribosomal RNA is filed under the name uncultured bacterium. RNAcentral describes it as "partial 16S ribosomal RNA". It matches the Rfam family "Bacterial small subunit ribosomal RNA", at positions 509 to 807 of the family's 1533-position model. The record is from RNAcentral.
CAGCCGCCGCGGGAAUACGAAGGGGGCUAGCGUUGCUCGGAAUCACUGGGCGUAAAGGGUGCGUAGGCGGGUCUUUGAGUCAGAGGUGAAAUCCUGGAGCUCAACUCCAGAACUGCCUUUGAUACUGGAGAUCUCGAGUUCGGGAGAGGUGAGUGGAACUGCGAGUGUAGAGGUGAAAUUCGUAGAUAUUCGCAAGAACACCAGUGGCGAAGGCGGCUCACUGGCCCGAUACUGACGCUGAGGCACGAAAGCGUGGGGAGCAAACAGGAUUAGAUACCCCGGUAGUCCCUGUCUCUUAUAC